This 468-nucleotide ribosomal RNA is filed under the name uncultured bacterium. Its description in RNAcentral is "partial 16S ribosomal RNA". It matches the Rfam family "Bacterial small subunit ribosomal RNA", at positions 28 to 507 of the family's 1533-position model. The record is from RNAcentral.
GACGAACGCUGGCGGCGUGCUUAACACAUGCAAGUCGAACGGAAAGGCCCUGCUUUUGUGGGGUGCUCGAGUGGCGAACGGGUGAGUAACACGUGAGUAACCUGCCCUUGACUUUGGGAUAACUUCAGGAAACUGGGGCUAAUACCGGAUAGGAGCUCCUGCUGCAUGGUGGGGGUUGGAAAGUUUCGGCGGUUGGGGAUGGACUCGCGGCUUAUCAGCUUGUUGGUGGGGUAGUGGCUUACCAAGGCUUUGACGGGUAGCCGGCCUGCGAGGGGGAGCGGCCACAUUGGGACUGGGAUACGGCCCAGACUCGUACGGGAGGCAGCAGUGGGGUAGAUUGCACAAUGGGCGGAAGCCUGAUGCAGCAACGCCGCGUGCGGGAUGACGGCAUUCGGGUUGUAAACCGAUUUCGCCUGUGACGAAGCGUGAGUGACGGUAAUGGGUAAAGAAGCACCGGCUAACUACGUG